This 150-nucleotide ribosomal RNA is filed under the name Comanthera xeranthemoides. RNAcentral's name for it is "5.8S ribosomal RNA". It matches the Rfam family "5.8S ribosomal RNA". From Rfam's summary of the family: 5.8S ribosomal RNA (5.8S rRNA) is a component of the large subunit of the eukaryotic ribosome. It is transcribed by RNA polymerase I as part of the 45S precursor that also contains 18S and 28S rRNA. Functionally, it is thought that 5.8S rRNA may be involved in ribosome translocation. The record is from RNAcentral. Lineage: Eukaryota; Viridiplantae; Streptophyta; Magnoliopsida; Poales; Eriocaulaceae.
AAUUGAUAUCUCGGCUCUUGUAACAAUGAAAAACGUAGCAAAAUGCGAUAUUUGGUGUGAAUUGUAGAAUCUCGUGAGCCAUCAACUAUUUGAAUGCAAGUUGAGCCCGAAGCCUUCGCGGCCGAGGGCACGCCUGCCUGGGCGUCAUUC